RNAcentral lists this ribosomal RNA (408 nucleotides) under uncultured bacterium. RNAcentral describes it as "partial 16S ribosomal RNA". It matches the Rfam family "Bacterial small subunit ribosomal RNA", at positions 28 to 526 of the family's 1533-position model. The record is from RNAcentral.
GACGAACGCUGGCGGCGUGCUUAACACAUGCAAGUCGAACGGAGUGGCGAACGGGUGAGUAACCCGUGGGUGAUCUGCCUUGCACUUCGGGAUAAGCUUGGGAAACUGGGUCUAAUACCGGAUAUUGCAGGAUGAGCGCGCGACCUAUCGGCUUGUUGGUGGGGUAAUGGCCGACCAAGGCGUCGACGGUUAGCCGGCCUGAGAGGGUGGACGGCCACAUUGGGACUGAGAUACGGCCCAGAGUGCUACGGGAGGCAGCAGUGGGGAAUAUUGCACAAUGGGCGGAAGUCUGAUGCAGCGACGCCGCGUGGGGGAUGAAGGCCUUCGGGUUGUAAACUCCUUGCGACAGGGACGCGGUACCUGUAUAAGAAGCACCGGCUAACUACGUGCCAGCAGCCGCGGUAAUUC